AUUGAACGCUGGCGGCAUGCCUUACACAUGCAAGUCGAACGGCAGCACGGGUGCUUGCACCUGGUGGCGAGUGGCGAACGGGUGAGUAAUACAUCGGAACAUGUCCUGUAGUGGGGGAUAGCCCGGCGAAAGCCGGAUUAAUACCGCAUACGAUCUACGGAUGAAAGCGGGGGACCUUCGGGCCUCGCGCUAUAGGGUUGGCCGAUGGCUGAUUAGCUAGUUGGUGGGGUAAAGGCCUACCAAGGCGACGAUCAGUAGCUGGUCUGAGAGGACGACCAGCCACACUGGGACUGAGACACGGCCCAGACGCCUACGGGAGGCAGCAGUGGGGAAUUUUGGACAAUGGGCGAAAGCCUGAUCCAGCAAUGCCGCGUGUGUGAAGAAGGCCUUCGGGUUGUAAAGCACGUUUGUCCGGAAAGAAAUCCUUGGCCCUAAUACGGUCGGGGGAUGACGGUACCGGAAGAAUAAGCACCGGCUAACUACGUG
Molecule: ribosomal RNA, 486 nt
Filed under: uncultured bacterium
Lineage: Bacteria
Description: partial 16S ribosomal RNA
Rfam family: Bacterial small subunit ribosomal RNA
Source: RNAcentral